Molecule: long non-coding RNA, 281 nt
Filed under: Elaeis guineensis (African oil palm)
Lineage: Eukaryota; Viridiplantae; Streptophyta; Magnoliopsida; Arecales; Arecaceae
Description: long non-coding RNA (EGUI_LNC059197)
Source: RNAcentral
UCCCACUUGAGUCUUAUCCACCAAUUUAUAAAGACUACCUAUUUGUACUCUCUUUAUCACUACCAAAUAUCCUUUGGACACUUUCAAUUGAUCUUUCUCUCUGAUAAACUUUAAGCCUUGCUUACGAAACUUUGCAAGUGACAGUAGACUCUUGCACAGUACAGGAAUACGCCGUACAUUAGAAACUGUCCGAACUAUACCAUCAAAUAUUUUGAUCCGAACAUCCCACUUCAAUCAUAGGACAAGUUGUAUUGUUAUCCAAAUAGAUAACUCUUUCAUCC